AAAUGAAUUUAUUCAUUCUAUAACAGGCCUACAUGCAAGAAUCACAUAUUAGCUGAACUGGAUACAAACAUAGAUCUAGAGAGAGAUAGAAAUCAAAUGAUGUUUCAGAAGCUAAAGGUUUUCUCUGAACAGUAAAAUGUAAAGAACAGUAAAACUCCAGUUGCAUGUUAAAGCUGAUGGCAGUUUGGUGCUUUUCCCUUAAAAAGAUGCAGAAAAUUUGCUGAGCAGCUGAAUAAAUUCAGCAAAUAUUGAAGCCAAUAACCUUCAAAAUCUCCCUAAAGAACUAGCAUACAAAAAUCAGUUCUCUCUUUAAAUGAAGACAAAACGUAAAGAAGAACUUGACAUCUUUAGAAAUUAAAUUUAGAAUAUUUGUUGUGGAUUUUCAUGCUUGACUUUUCCUCUAUUGCACCCUUUUGUUUUCAUUUCAAUCUUUUAAAGAAUGAUCAGCUUCCCCACAUUGAUGACGUCAGCAUUAUGUUUUCAUAAUUCACUUAAGCUUUAGCUCUACACCUAUAAUAUAUUCUUGCAAAAUGCCUGCAGUUAAAACUACAUGGAGUUAAUGUUGCUCUGCUUUUUAAUGAGUAACAUGCAGGCUAGGUAACUUGUCUGGACAGGACGUUUCCGACAGAAGCUUUAAAGGUUUGCAGCCUGUUAAAAGCUCUUCUGGAAUCUGAAAAUCUAUGAAGCAGUGAAUAAAUCACAUUUUGCACAAAAGGCUGGAAAUAUAAGCAGGAGGGAAGAAUGAGAAAUUUUCAUGAAAAGAAAAAAGAAAAAGCUACCGUUUCUUCAGCUUUGCAGCAUUUCCCGUUAUGAGUUUCAUACAUUCUUUUCUUGCUAAAAAGAAUGUAUGAAACUGAAGUUAGUGACAAAAUCUUUUCAAAGAUGAAAAUAUCUCAACAAUCUGAUGAUUCUGGUAGGUUUGUGAGAAAUUCUUUAUUUGUGAAAUGCAAUUAACCUUUUAUUUUUUAAAGUUACAAUUACUAUAAAUAUCACAAAAUAUAUUUGUUAAAAUAACUACAGUUUGCUUUCAAAUAACUUUUUUAAAUAGAUCUCUUACUGGAUAACAUUAAAAUGUGUUUAUUCUGCUCUAGCUGUAGAUACAACUUUACAAUCACGUGUAUAAUAAUGUAUUUAGAAAGGCUCAGUGGACUUCCUCAGGCUUGUCUUUGCAGGUUCUGCACAUUUCGAGCUGAUAAAUACUCACUAUUUUAGAAUUGUUAUAGCAUUUGGUGGUAUAGAAACAAAAACAAGGACAUGGAACAGUUUCAUUAAAGCAGAAAGGCAGAUUAUCACUAAAAUAGAAAAAACACAACUUUAGUAUAAAAACUAAAUUAGGAUAUUUCACUACAAGGAGUGUCUAUUACAUUUUUAAUGUUUGUAUAGUUUCUCCACAACAAAUUUAAACCA
This is a long non-coding RNA of Poecilia latipinna (sailfin molly), 1407 nucleotides long. RefSeq lists it as uncharacterized. The transcript is spliced from 2 exons. The record is from RefSeq and is a predicted model, not a curated record. NCBI's taxonomy places the organism in Eukaryota, Metazoa, Chordata, Actinopteri, Cyprinodontiformes, Poeciliidae.